Carassius gibelio (silver crucian carp) is the source of this 1220-nucleotide long non-coding RNA. RefSeq lists it as uncharacterized. The record is from RefSeq and is a predicted model, not a curated record. The transcript is spliced from 6 exons. NCBI's taxonomy places the organism in Eukaryota, Metazoa, Chordata, Actinopteri, Cypriniformes, Cyprinidae.
ACACCCGUCGCUGCAGACUGUAGCGCGGUGACGUCACGUACGUACGUCACGUAUGUGUUUACUGCGCAUGCGCAAUGUGACAUAAGGUAUAUGUUUAACACGCAUGCGCGUCGUACAUAUUGGCGUUACCAAGGAGUAUAGAAGCGCUAUAUACCUAGGGUUACUGCGCAUGUACAGGUUCAUUCACUUCCGGAUGUAUGGUGGAUUCGAGAUUCGUUGGCAAUGCAUACUACAGUCCUCAGAAAAGGAGAAAAGAUAACAAUAGAACAGUGCAUCUCAUGCUGUGAUAAAUAUCACUGCCCAUUUUGUGAGACCUGGGUCUACAAACCAGUGGACUUGUACAGUGUCACGAAGCAUGUGCAGGAUCAUCUGAAAACAGCUGUUUGUGAAGAAGAUUUUAUUAUCAUAAGAUGCAGCUUAAAAUGCAGAGAUGUUUCUCAUUUUCAUUGCUGCUAUUGUUCUGCUACAAUCAUACGAAAAGCACAAUUUAACAUCCAUCUUACAAAAUGCAAGCAAAAGAAACAAAAGUUUCCAUCUCCACAAAGAACUCCAUCACCCAUGGUUCUGAUUGGUAAUACACCUCUGCCUGCAGCUUCUGCUCAGACAGCACCCCUUCUUCAACCUCAGCCUUCUCCAAGUGAACCACGCACGUCUGUGUCUCCCACGCCCAGUACUCCACUGUAUCAACCCAAAGUAUGUAAGGGACCACCACUUCCAUCUCCUUUGAGUACCUUCACAUCUCUGCCUGCAGCUUCUGCUCAGACAGCACCCCUACUUCAAGCUCAGCCUUCUCCAAGUGAACCACGCACGUCUGUCUGUCAGGGAGUACAGCUGUGAUGACAUUACAGGCAUACCCAGACAGCACAAUUCAAAUAACUGCAGAGUGUUUGUGUUGAUGUAUGCACUCUACAUGGUAUUGGAGGGGCAUUUUGAUUUCAACGAAUGUGACAUGCCAACAAUUAGAAGGUGGUGGUGUAUGCUUCUGCUGAGUAAUUACCCAUUGACGUAAGUCAAGAUCAAGUUGUACUGUAUUUGAAAUGUUGCCAACUUAUCUGUAAACAUAAAUUUAACAGUUCAAAUUAAAUGGUACAAAGAAGUGUUUUUAUGUGUGCAAAUAAUUUCAUUACAUAUAUCGGAUGUAAACCUGUGAAUUUCAAGUAUUCUUCUGGGGGUGUCAUUAAGAUCAAACUCUCUUCAUAAGCUCUUUAUAUUUUAAACAU